RNAcentral lists this ribosomal RNA (768 nucleotides) under Triticum aestivum (bread wheat). RNAcentral's name for it is "partial small subunit ribosomal RNA". The record is from RNAcentral. Lineage: Eukaryota; Viridiplantae; Streptophyta; Magnoliopsida; Poales; Poaceae.
GACGGCUUCUCGGAGCCGGCGCGACUUGCCGAUGUUGAGAAGCUUCGUGAGCUUCCGCACCGGUGUGGGCGCCGUCAACGUCCUCAUGAAGGAGAUCUCGACGGCCGUAUCGAACGCCGCGAAGAGCGCCUGGUGCCGGGGGUCACCCCACUCGAGGAGCGUGGAGCUCUCGACGCCGAAGGCGACGUAGCAGAUGUUGUCAAACGCGAACCGACGCAGCGCCUCCUGCAGGUCGACGACCUCGCCGGACCCCGCGGCGCCAUCGAGGAACGGCAGGAAGCGACGGCCGAGGUGAACGGCGAGGACGUCUUCGCUGAAACGCCGUAGCGAGCGGGAGGAGAAAGCGUAUGACGCCAGCUUGCGCUGGAGGCUCCAGAGGCGGCCAUCGGCGCCGAAGAGGCCGUCGCCGAUGAGGUCGGACUGCGCCGCGCGGAAUUGCGCGCCACGGUUGUAGUUGGCGAAGCUUGCGCGCAGCAGGUGGUCGACGGCGGCCGGGUCGGCGGUGGUCACGGCGUGGCUGGCGCCCAAGGCCCCCCACGCCUCGAUGGUGUUGGACGGCGACGCGCGCAGCAUGUCGGCGUACCAGUCGAAGAACCUCCCGCGGUUGCGGAUGAACUCCACGGUGUUGCCCAGAACGGGGUUCGGGUGAGGACAGUACGCCGUUCUUGGCUUCGUCGACGGAGAAACUCGGCGGCGCUGGACAUAAAGUACGACGGCGGCGAAGAGGAAGAGGAGCACGUACGCGAGGUGCGCGAUCUCCAUGGUUGA